This 72-nucleotide transfer RNA is filed under the name Ictidomys tridecemlineatus (thirteen-lined ground squirrel). RNAcentral's name for it is "Spermophilus tridecemlineatus (thirteen-lined ground squirrel) tRNA". It matches the Rfam family "tRNA". Rfam says of the family: Transfer RNA (tRNA) molecules are approximately 80 nucleotides in length. Their secondary structure includes four short double-helical elements and three loops (D, anti-codon, and T loops). The record is from Rfam by way of RNAcentral. Lineage: Eukaryota; Metazoa; Chordata; Mammalia; Rodentia; Sciuridae.
GGGGGUGUAGCUCAGUAGUAGAGCAUUUGCCUACCACGCAGGAGGCCCUGGGUUCCAUCCCCAGUACCACAA